RNAcentral lists this ribosomal RNA (497 nucleotides) under uncultured bacterium. RNAcentral's name for it is "partial 16S ribosomal RNA". It matches the Rfam family "Bacterial small subunit ribosomal RNA", at positions 28 to 507 of the family's 1533-position model. The record is from RNAcentral.
GACGAACGCUGGCGGCGUGCCUAAUACAUGCAAGUUGAGCGAUGAAGAUUGGUGCUUGCACCAAUUUGAAGAGCAGCGAACGGGUGAGUAACGCGUGGGGAAUCUGCCUUUGAGCGGGGGACAACAUUUGGAAACGAAUGCUAAUACCGCAUAACAACUUUAAACAUAAGUUUUAAGUUUGAAAGAUGCAAUUGCAUCACUCAAAGAUGAUCCCGCGUUGUAUUAGCUAGUUGGUGAGGUAAAGGCUCACCAAGGCGAUGAUACAUAGCCGACCUGAGAGGGUGAUCGGCCACCUUGGGACUGAGACACGGCCCAAACUCCUACGGGAGGCAGCAGUAGGGAAUCUUCGGCAAUGGACGAAAGUCUGGCCGAGCAACGCCGCGUGAGUGAAGAAGGUUUUCGGAUCGUAAAACUCUGUUGGUAGAGAAGAACGUUGGUGAGAGUGGAAAGCUCAUCAAGUGACGGUAACUACCCAGAAAGGGACGGCUAACUACGUG